CCGGCGCGCGCCCCGGUGCUCGGGACGCGUCUUGGGGACAGGCCAGACCCAUGUCCCCAGGGGCCGCCACUGCAUUGCUGGGGCGGGGGAGGAGGGCCGUCCGGGACGGGAGGCCACCCCUCCCUGGCAGCUUUGCUGGGAAGCUGAGAGCAGGCCGCUCCCCGCCCUCACCCGCCUGCCCCUCUGCCGGCAGAGGACAAAGACCCGCCUGAAGUUCGAGGGCCCCAGCCCCACCUCGCACGGAUCUCAUACUACACGUGAACAAGCUAAAUUUAACACUCCAAAAGAAAGGAACAAUUUAUUUGUGAUUUAGCCAGCGUGUGACAGAGUCAAAACCAGUCUGUUCUUAUCUGAUAAAACAUGGAUGAUGAGAAAACCUCUACUGAGCACCUGCUUUUAUAACUGUAUCUCGUGUCGGUUAGAGUUCUUUGGCUUCCAGUGAUAAGAAUCAGUUGAAGAAAAAGCUAAACAUCUAGGACUCAAGAAGACCCAGAACCAGGACAGCUCUGGAGAUAAAGGAAUGAGUAGCUCAUCUGUCCAAAGGGAAUGGAUCACUCCACUGAUAAGUCAGUUCUUGGGAGACAGUAAGAUCUAGACCCAAGCAGGUUCUCCUGGCAGGGGCACUAGGAUCAGUCUCUCACUGGGUGCCAUCUUGCUUUCCUAAAUUCAGUUACAUUGUAUCAUACUGUCUAUUCUCUGAGCAACUCCUGCAUCCUUCUCCUUCCUUUUUUCCUUGUUACCCAAAGUUGGUUUCUGUUGCCUGCAACUAAAGAACCAUGAUACAAUGUUUUUGUUCUCUUUCAGUUAGUUAGUUAGUUUAGGUAGUCAGACUUCUGGACACUUCCCUGUCAUGCAUGUUAUGACAAAAUUGCUUGUUGUGGUUUACUUUUGGCUGAAUCUUUAUGGUAGAUACAAAAUUAGAAGUUUCUUAAAAAUGUUUUCUCCCCUCUGCAGUUGGUAGGGUACAAGGGUUAAGGCUGGAAAUUCAGGCAGGAUAAAGGGCAUGAAACACACAUAGAAAGGACAGAGAGAACAACAGGAGAGAAGAAAGAAGGAGACAGAACUUGAAAGCAAUGCUGGUGUGGGCAAGCGCUGCUUCUUUCUGAUGGUGCUCACAGGUCGUGAAGCCACCGGAAACGUCCCGAACCGCGUGUCUCUGGGACGGACGCACCACCGCUGAGCCCUGCGCGGGAGGAAAGAAACCACAUAAAGCGCCUACAAGGGAGAAAAAAGAAACGUGAAAACAUCUUCUCUUGUAUUUCGGGGUUUUCCUCCCUUCUGAGUUUCGUAUGAAUCAAACAGGUGUGCGUUCAAAGCCUGCAAGUGUGUCUUCAUCCGCUUUUCAUCAUUGGCUUCCAGAAAAUUCAGAUCUCUUGGAAAGGAAGAAAAGUAAACAGCUGAGCACUGUGACUCAUUUGCACUUCAAAUAUACUUUGAAUCGGUUAUUCCUCAAUUAAUCAAAAAGCUGGUGUAUCCCAAAAGUAGUAUAAAGUGACACGCUGUGUGAAAUCAAUUUUGCUUUCCAAAAUCAUUAAAUCCAGUAGCCUGUGACUACAUCCCUGCUAAUUCUGGUACCAAUCCUUUCAUCCUCCAUUAACUUUGGCACGCCUAACAGGCUGUCAAGAAUAAUUUCCCAGGACGUAAAUAAUUCAGAAAUUAAAAAUUAAUAAAUAAUAACAGAGAACUACUGGGAAAUAGGCUGGGUCAAUUAGUGCGCUCUGCAUUCUGUUUCUUCGCAGCGGGUGGGGGGGGACACAGCCACAUUCGUUACUCGAAUCUUCCCUUCAAUUCUGAGGUCUGAUUUACAGCUCUUCAUUACUGGAACCAGUCAGACGCAAUUACCUCCAUCAGUAUCUCAGCUCCUAACUUCAAAGAAACCAACAUUUUCUUGUCUGCUUUUUUUCUCCUUGCAGCAGGCUCAGCUUGACAUCCCUGGAAUUUCUUCCACGCAGACUAAUUAAUAAGUCUCCGACUUAUCAUAUUCACUUCUCUUCUUUGAUGUGCUACCUUAGUCAAUCAUCCCAUUUAAUUAGAAUUUCAAUGAUAACUUUACUUAUCUUGUGGCUAGAUGUAAAUUAAAAUAACAGGAUUUUAAUUCUUUCUCGUAUGGGGUUAUGGCAUUUCGGAAGAAAAAGUUUCAACACAAACAUGAUAUUAUGUGCUUUUUACUUUUUGUGUGGGGGUAGGGGAGCAGCUUGCAAAAUUAUUUUCCUCUUGCUACAGCACAGUAUUACUGACGAGCAAGCAAUCAUGGGAAAUGCACUGGAUUUUUCUAUAGCAUCAUUUCACCAAGCUUUUCACAGGAAAACCACUGUCAUGAUUUGCAUAAAUAAUUGGAACAAGAUACAAACCCUUUUAACUUUUUGCCCUUUUCUGUCAAUUCAUGCUGUUUCCCAUUUUGACAAAUUCUGUAGUGGUUUCUUUAGUCCUCCCCAAAAUGCCACAAGGAAAUAAAAAGCUUCUCCCAAGAAUACAGCAAACAUUAGUAUAGUGCGAGACGUGACACUGAUGUGCACAGCUGGAUAAUAAGGUACAGCAGAAGGCAGCUUUCAUUUUUACAAAACAACACUGAGACCAAUAUUCACUGAGCAUGCCCUGGGUGCCAGCCUCAGUCGUAGGCUUUGCCUGCUGAUUCCCCCAGCACACCCGUAAUACAGGGUCAUCGCCCCCAUGUGCAGACACACAGUCUCAACGACCUCACUUGCUUGCUGAAAGUCACAAAGGUAGCGCGUGAGGAGGAACAAAUUAGAAGAGUUUGUGAGAUAAAGAGAGUUUAAACCUUUUUCUUCUUAUUAUUCUUUUUUU
This is a long non-coding RNA of Microcebus murinus (gray mouse lemur), 2805 nucleotides long. RefSeq lists it as uncharacterized. NCBI's taxonomy places the organism in Eukaryota, Metazoa, Chordata, Mammalia, Primates, Cheirogaleidae. The record is from RefSeq and is a predicted model, not a curated record.